GAUGAACGCUAGCGGCAGGCCUAAUACAUGCAAGUCGGACGGGAUCCAUUGAUAGCUUGCUAUCAAUGGUGAGAGUGGCGCACGGGUGCGUAACGCGUGAGCAACCUGCCUCCAUCAGGGGGAUAGCCUCUCGAAAGAGAGAUUAACACCGCAUAAUAUCAACAGUUCGCAUGUUCAGUUGAUUAAAUAUUUAUAGGAUGGAGAUGGGCUCGCGUGACAUUAGCUAGUUGGUAGGGUAACGGCUUACCGAGGCGACGAUGUCUAGGGGCUCUGAGAGGAGAAUCCCCCACACUGGUACUGAGACACGGACCAGACUCCUACGGGAGGCAGCAGUAAGGAAUAUUGGUCAAUGGGCGGAAGCCUGAACCAGCCAUGCCGCGUGCAGGAUGACUGCCCUAUGGGUUGUAAACUGCUUUUGUCCAGGAAUAAACCUAAAUACGAGUAUUUAGCUGAAUGUACUGGAAGAAUAAGGAUCGGCUAACUCCGUG
Molecule: ribosomal RNA, 488 nt
Filed under: uncultured bacterium
Lineage: Bacteria
Description: partial 16S ribosomal RNA
Rfam family: Bacterial small subunit ribosomal RNA
Source: RNAcentral